RNAcentral lists this ribosomal RNA (468 nucleotides) under uncultured bacterium. RNAcentral describes it as "partial 16S ribosomal RNA". It matches the Rfam family "Bacterial small subunit ribosomal RNA", at positions 28 to 507 of the family's 1533-position model. The record is from RNAcentral.
GACGAACGCUGGCGGCGUGCUUAACACAUGCAAGUCGAACGGAAAGGCCCUGCUUUUGCGGGGUGCUCGAGUGGCGAACGGGUGAGUAACACGUGAGUAACCUGCCCUUGACUUUGGGAUAACUUCAGGAAACUGGGGCUAAUACCGGAUAGGAGCUCCUGCUGCAUGGUGGGGGUUGGAAAGUUUCGGCGGUUGGGGAUGGACUCGCGGCUUAUCAGCUUGUUGGUGGGGUAGUGGCUUACCAAGGCUUUGACGGGUAGCCGGCCUGGGAGGGUGACCGGCCACAUUGGGACUGCGAUACGGCCCAGACUCCUACGGGAGGCAGCAGUGGGGAAUCUUGCACAAUGGGCGGAAGCCUGAUGCAGCAACGCCGCGUGCGGGAUGACGGCCUUCGGGUUGUAAACCGCUUUCGCCUGUGACGAAGCGUGAGUGACGGUAAUGGGUAAAGAAGCACCGGCUAACUACGUG